GACGAACGCUGGCGGCGUGCUUAACACAUGCAAGUCGAACGGAAAGGCCCUGCUUUUGUGGGGUUCUCGAGUGGCGAACGGGUGAGUAACACGUGAGUAACCUGCCCUUGACUUUGUGAUAACUUCAGGAAACUGGGGCUAAUACCGGAUAGGAGCUCCUGCUGCAUGGUGGUGGUUGGAAAGUUUCGGCGGUUGGGGAUGGACUCGCGGCUUAUCAGCUUGUUGGUGGGGUAGUGGCUUACCAAGGCUUUGACGGGUAGCCGGCCUGAGAGGGUGACCGGCCACAUUGGGACUGAGAUACGGACCAGACUCCUACGGGAGGCAGCAGUGGGGAAUAUUGCACAAUGGGCGGAAGCCUGAUGCAGCAACGCCGCGUGCGGGAUGACGGCCUUCGGGUUGUAAACCGCUUUCGCCUGUGACGAAGCGUGAGUGACGGUAAUGGGUAAAGAAGCACCGGCUAACUACGUG
Molecule: ribosomal RNA, 468 nt
Filed under: uncultured bacterium
Lineage: Bacteria
Description: partial 16S ribosomal RNA
Rfam family: Bacterial small subunit ribosomal RNA
Source: RNAcentral